AACCUCAUGCACCGGAAGGCGUUGGGGAACAUAUAUCGAGUAAACAUGUUCCCAACACUAGCGUGUCUGAAGGGGGAAACUAUCAACGUGUAAGAGCUGGUUCGCAUCCUUAUGAGUCAUGGUACACAAGCCAUGAAUCCUCCUUUACAACAAAUUGGUGUAUUCUUCGAACACAUGGUCGAAUCGAUGCAUGACCCCAAUGGGAUUAACAUUGAGAAAUGAGGAAAAUGGGUGUUGUAGUGUUUGAAGGAAUGGUUGAUCCUACUGAUGUUUAACAAUGGUUAGAUCGCAUGGAGAGGGUGUUUGAGAAGUUAGAGCGUUCUAAUGUUGCGAAAUUUAAGUAUGUGCUUUGAUUAUUACAAAAUUAUGCUUAUGAUUGGUGGGUAACUGUUCAUAAUGCCAAGCUAAAACCUUCUGUUCUUAAGUGGGAUGAUUUUCUUAAAUUUUUUUGCAUAAAGUAUGUACCACCGGCUUAUUGUGAUGCAAAGAAAAAAGAGUUUUUUAAUCUAAGGCAAAGAGGCAUGUCUAUUGCUGAAUAUGAACAAAUGUUUCUAAGGCUCUGUUGUUAUGUUGUGUGUAUUAUUAAAGAGGAAAAAGAUAAGUGCAGGAAAUUUGAAGAUGGUUUAAAUGAUUCCAUUACGAAGAAUGUGACGAUCCUUCAACAUGAUAGCUUUUUAAAGUUAGUUUCUGCUGCUUUUACUCGGGAACGACUUGAUAAAAAAGAAGUUAAUAGAAAUGAAAACAAAUUUCGAAAGCCUAGACCAGAUUUUUGAGGUCCAUCAAAAAAGGGGCAGGUUUGAUAAUUCUAAGGCUAGUAGUAAUAAUGGUCCAGCUCAACAGAAGCAAAACAUAUUAGAUUUUUCUUCAGCUACCACUCCAAAAUAUGGCCAAGGCAAGCCUCACAUUCCCACUUGUACGCAAUGUGGUGUUUUAUUUUUAAAAAUUUCUACUAACUAUUUUUUGGUUUAAAAAUGAAAAAAUUUACUAGUUUUCGAAAAAUCAAUUAAUCGUAUUGUUUAAGAAAAAUCGACUUUUCAAAAUUAUGGAGUCGCCACUUGAUUUUUGAUAAAAUCAAGAAAAAAUUUAAAAUUGUCAAAAGAUUCAAAACUGAUAAAAUCAAUUGAAAAAGGUUCGAAGUUCAAUGUACAUCCUGAGAAGGUUUUAGGCCCUUGGGAUGCCCGCUAACUCGCGGUUGACCAGCGAUUUGACUAAAUGACUAUUAAAAUAAAAAUUUUAACUAAGUAAAAAAGAAAUUUGUUUUAAUAUUUUUUAUUUCAUUAUUAUUAUUUUUAUUUAUUUGUAAAGGUUGAGGGAAAUAAUUCAAGGAAAACUAAAUUGUGAUAAAAGUAAGUAAAACAACAAUAGGAAAAUUUAAAUAAUGAAAAAUGGCUACCCCUUAGAAGAUUAUUAAAAUUCUACCAAGAUAUUAAAUAAUUCAAACAAAUAAAUAAUAGAUAAAGAAAUAUUUGAACUUGGGCUUGAUUGCCCAAAUUCUUUCAUUUGGGCUUUGGCCCACCUGUCAUAAACUAAUCCUUAUACUUGGGCCUUCUUUAAAACCUACAGAAACAAAUGACCUUUGGGCCUGUUAAAUAAAAGGGGGGCUGAAGGGCCCUGGCCCAAUUCCCUGAAAAGAGACAUAAAGUAUACAAAUGUAUACAUGCUGUAUACAGCAUAUAUCUGACCCAUUUGGACCUCUUGAGCCCUGCACCUUUUGAAUAUAUAUUUACCGUUACUUUUCCCUGUAUUACCCCGCGUAUUUAUACCUGUAUCAUUUUUUAAAAACUUACUUAACAAGUGUAUAUCGUCGCCCGAUAAUGUAUACUAAUGUAUACGGGCUGCACCCUAUGUCUGCAUUGUUUGCCUAAUUCCGAAUUUUAAUUAGAAUAGACGUCCCUCUACGUUCCCCUACCAAUCAUAUUUUUUAAGCAUAUAUAUAGUAUAUCGUCUCAGUAUAUCUUUGUAUACAGGUUGUAUAUCAACCUGUUUUUCAACUUUCGACAGCUGAAAAAUUAUUUCCAGAAGUAUGUCCUCACUGUUAUCAACCUGUAUUUCGAAUUUUGUCCCCUGUACGUUUUUUUGACCUUUAUACUGAUGUAUAAAGUAUGUAUACAGCUGCUAUACAGCUACAUCAACACCUGCCAAUACAUUUUACAGCCCUUUUCUAGGUUUUGAUGAACCUGCAGUUAAUUUCCAGCAACUCGUUUGAUAUAUUUUAGCCUGUACGCCAGUUUUGAGGGGGUCUACGACUCAAGGAUGACAGUUCAAGCCUUUACGGCUCAAUGAGAAAGUGCAACGAGAUGGGUUAAAGUCCAUGAGGACUCGAGGAGAUUUCACAUGCAAUAAAACCAAAAAAAAAUUAGCACCUUAAGCGAUAAGCUAAUAGAAUUCGUCUUAAACAAAACGGUAAUAGAAGAUGUGAGCUAUUUUAGAGAUAAUGAGUUAGGAAAGGGGUACAAAAUCUCAACACACAUCUCAUAUGCAGGCAACACAGGGGACUCCUCAUGCAUGCAGCACUAUUCAAAUGUUCAAAAGAAUAAAAUGAAAGUCAUCAUAUGUCAAGGUUCAUUAGUGAUAAACUUGAGGCUAUGUGAAUCAUUUCAAACCCAAUGACAACAACACGACAAUGAGCAAUAAAUAUACUGUAGACCAAACACUGAGGAGAAUUGAUCCCUUUAUAUCAUUCAAGCCAUUUAAUGCACAUAAAGGGAAUAUAUGCAGAAGCCAUUGAUAACAAAAAUCACGUCAAAGAAAAGGCCUACCCGUAAGACAAAGUCUAGAAUCCUCCUCCAAAAUGGUCAUAAUUCGAACACAUAAAUGUUUCUAACCCCUUAGGACAACUAAGAAUACGAUAAAGAAAAAGUCACCGACAUAUACUCGAAUAAAACUCGAUUAGAAACCUAGCUAUAACGUACUCAAGACAAGCGAAUACGGAGGUUGUCUGACAAACAAGACGAGAACUCGUCCGAGCUUACACAUUCACAACCAAAUAUGACCGAAGGAUCUAGUGUAUAUAUCAAUCUAAGCAACACAUUAUACUACCUACAAGUUCAUCCAAGCCUGAAUGAACAACUCGAGCGAGAGGGACAACAUGAACAAGCUUAAGACGAGGUAAGCGAAACAAGAGAAGACUAUACUUCAAACAUACACCUACAUUUCAGUUUCAUAACUGGCAGCAGCAACAGAACUUUAAAACGCCACCAGAAGCCAUUUUAAAACAAAAAAAAAUGAUAAAGUCGUGUCAAGCGGUAGGGGUUACCUGUUUUAGAGCAGCCAACUGGAACAACAAAUAACGCUGAGGUCUUCCACCACAACACUCAAACUCAAAAGGCGAUAUAGAGCUCCUUGUAGGUAGCGAUAGGACAGGGACGAACGUCUCAAUGGUUUCAAGAAACUAUCUCAAAACACUUAUAUACAGUGAUAUGGCUUGAAGCUUGUGGCCAUAUUCCUCUGUAACCUUUUCUCUUUACUCCCUUUUUAUCUAUAUUUUCUUUCUUUCCCUGUUUAUUUUCCUUUUUUUCUAUUUUUCCUCCUUUCUUCUUUCUCUCUCUUUUCUUCUUUCUCUCCACCAACCCCCUAACAAUAAAGAAGAUGGGGAUUAUUU
RNAcentral lists this long non-coding RNA (3601 nucleotides) under Solanum lycopersicum (tomato). RNAcentral's name for it is "long non-coding RNA (SLYC_LNC001326)". The record is from RNAcentral. Lineage: Eukaryota; Viridiplantae; Streptophyta; Magnoliopsida; Solanales; Solanaceae.